AGUCGGCCUGGAUUAGCAAGAUGGGGGUUACAAGACUUGUUGGAUCAAUUAAUGUUUUCGUUAGGCCUCCACUUACCUUGUUUGGCAGCUAUGUGAAGAAUACUCUGCUGAUCCCGGUUGAUCUCAUCCAAAUCAUCCACCACUGUCAAAACUUUAUCUUGGACUUUCAAUACCACCGGUUUCUCCGUGGCCUUCUCCGCAUCAACACUUUGGCUUUGACCUCGUUAUAGGGAGGAUCCCUGGAGGUGCCGACUUGAAGCUCAGAAGCAUCAUCGAUCCCCUCAGGUAAAUA
Tigriopus californicus is the source of this 292-nucleotide long non-coding RNA. RefSeq lists it as uncharacterized. The transcript has 2 exons. NCBI's taxonomy places the organism in Eukaryota, Metazoa, Arthropoda, Copepoda, Harpacticoida, Harpacticidae. The record is from RefSeq and is a predicted model, not a curated record.